Molecule: ribosomal RNA, 433 nt
Filed under: uncultured bacterium
Lineage: Bacteria
Description: partial 16S ribosomal RNA
Rfam family: Bacterial small subunit ribosomal RNA
Source: RNAcentral
AACGAACGCUGGCGGCAUGCCUAACACAUGCAAGUCGAACGAAACCUUCGGCUUUCGCGUCGCACGGGCGCGUACCGCGUGGGAACAUGCCCUUAGGUCCGGAAUAUCUUCUCGCCCGGGCUGCUAAUUCCGGAUAGUGUCCUCGGACUAAUGGUUUAUCGCCUUGGGGUGGGCCGGCGUUGGAUUAGCUCGUUGGUAGGGUAAAGGCCAACCAGGGCGAGGGUCCUGAGCUGGUCAGUGAGGUUGAUCAGCCACACUGGGACUGAGACACGGCACAGACGCGUACGAGAGGAAGAAGGGGGGAAUAUUGGAGAAGGGGCGAAGGGCUGAGGAAGCAGGGCCGCGUGAGGGAUGAAGGCCUUAGGGGUGUAAAGCUCUUUUGGCCGGGAUGAUAGUGACGGUACCGGGAGAAGAAGCUCCGGCUAACUCCGUG